GCCGGGGCACCGGCACCCGUCGUGUCCUCGGCCGGGCUGGGGCAUCUCCAGGGAUCCCUCACAGGGUUCCCGGGUUGUACCUGUGUCCCUUCGGGAUCCAGGAAUCGAUCUCUCCCUGGGUCCCCUUGAUGUCCUUGUGUCUCUUAGGGAUCCAGGAAUUCGUGACAGGGUUCCCAGAAUGUGCCUGUGUCUCGUUAGCCUGUACAGGGAUCCUGUGAUCCCGCAGGGUCCCUGGGAUGCCCCUGUGUCCCUUUAAAUGCGCCCAGGACUGGAAAGCCGGAGAUUUAGACCCGAAUUUUUUUUUUUAUGUGCUCUUAAUGAUAUUUAUUGUUAAUGGCUAGAUGGGAAACUGAUUUAUUUUCCAUCCUGUUCUUGGGAAGCAGAGGCUUUUCUAUUCCUCUGCAGCAUCUCAGAUCUGCUGAGGCUCACUCUGCCUCCUCACUCCUACCACAUUGUUUUCAUACUUAUGAACCAUAAUAUUUAUCAAAAGUGAAGCAUAUUUUAGUUUAAAAUUGAAUUGCUAUCUCACCUUAGUUGCCAGGUUUUGUAUUACCUCAUAUGUCUUCAUGCCAAACACUGUUUGUUUAUUUAUUUAUUCUUUUUAAUCUCCUGUACUGGGUGUAGGGAGUUUGUGGGGCUGUAAUCUGAUUUUUUCCCUUUCCUGUGCUGAGGGAUAACGUGCUGGCUGAAGUUCUAAUCAUUGUAGGCAUUUGCAGAAAUUAUCAGGGAGUUGGUGUAAAACUGUUUUUGAAAACCAUUGCCAUAUUUAUGGUAACAAAAGUCUCUUUUUGGCCACUGGAAGAAGAUAUGAUCAAACCAGCAGUGUUGGUUCUGAUGUGCUAUGUGUUUUUAAUCUGUGAAGUUCCAGCACACCUGUCCUGGCUGGCAGCAGGAACCUCACUGAAACCAAGGGGAAAGUUCCUGCUGGGUGGUAGCUUACAUCUUCAGAUACAGCUGUGCCUGUUCCUAUGUCUUAUGCCAGCUCAGGAGUGAGUGUUUAGGUUACAGUAAAUAUUCCACAACACUUUUAUCUUGACGGGGGGUGCCUUUUUUUUCAUACAAACUUUUAAACCUAUCAGUCACAAUUAUUUUGUAUUUUUGUAUUUUCCACCAAAAGGCAGAAGUUCAUUGAAGUUGAUGCCCUGGAAAGAUGUGAGGUCAAUGGCUGUGACACACAGUCAAUAGCAUUGUGGUGGUUCUCUUUCUUUAAUUAAAUACUUCAUAAAGAUGAGAAACAGCAUGAAAAAUUUAAAGCUUCUCAUUCUUCAUACAGAUCAAGUACAACAUAUAUAGUAAGAGGGUUUGGAGUGCCAGCUUCUGCAGUGUUCCAUCAAAAAGCAGUUGUAUUUCUGAUGAGUUCAUUUUAUGGCUUUUUCCCAUUGAAGUAGUUGUCUGGAAGGAACCACAUUAUUUUACACAGGUCAGGAGAUUCAUGUAUGAUCAGUAGUACCUUUGCUUGCUUGAUAACAGCAUGAUAAGAGCUGUGCUUACUCUGGAAAGGCAGGAACUUUAAAGGUAUAGAUCAUUGGUGGCACACAGGAAUUACCUGCAUCUUUACAGAAGGAGUAAUUUUCUGUCUGUACAUGUUCAGUUUGAAAACACAUUUCUGAAUAGUAUGUCAGCUUGACACCCGCAUUAAAAUUGUGAAUUCUGUGUA
Molecule: long non-coding RNA, 1657 nt
Organism: Cyanistes caeruleus (blue tit)
Lineage: Eukaryota; Metazoa; Chordata; Aves; Passeriformes; Paridae
Source: Ensembl